UAACAUCUGGGAGAGCUUGCUCUUCCAGGAUGACGACCGGCGCACGGGUGAGUAACGCGUAUCCAACCUGGCCCAUACCACGGGAUAGCCCGUCGAAAGGCGGAUUAAUACCGUAUGCUGUCAUUAAGAGGCAUUUUUGAUGACGAAAGGACUGGCGGUAUGGGAUGGGGAUGCGUCUGAUUAGCUUGUUGGCGGGUAACGGCCACCAAGGCGACGAUCAGUAGGGGUUCUGAGAGGAAGGUCCCCACAUUGGAACUGAGACACGGUCCAAACUCC
Molecule: ribosomal RNA, 276 nt
Filed under: uncultured bacterium
Lineage: Bacteria
Description: partial 16S ribosomal RNA
Rfam family: Bacterial small subunit ribosomal RNA
Source: RNAcentral